GCUACCAUGCAGUCGAGCGGAGUUGACCCGUCUGGUCACUACACGGGUCUAGUUAGCGGCGAACGGGUGAGUAACACGUGGGUAAUCUGCCUCAAAGACCGGGAUAACUCCGCGAAACGGGUGCUAAUACCGGAUACGUUGGCUUCCUCGCAUGGGGAGGCCAAGAAA
RNAcentral lists this ribosomal RNA (168 nucleotides) under uncultured bacterium. RNAcentral's name for it is "partial 16S ribosomal RNA". It matches the Rfam family "Bacterial small subunit ribosomal RNA", at positions 54 to 205 of the family's 1533-position model. The record is from RNAcentral.